Molecule: ribosomal RNA, 1359 nt
Filed under: uncultured bacterium
Lineage: Bacteria
Description: bacterial SSU rRNA
Rfam family: Bacterial small subunit ribosomal RNA
Source: RNAcentral
GGAUGAACGCUAGCGACAGGCUUAACACAUGCCUGUCGAGGGGCAGCGGAGGCGAGUGCUUGCACUUGCCAGACGGCGACCGGCGCACGGGUGAGUAACACGUAUGCGACCUGCCCGUAGCAGGGGGAUAAGCGGAAGAAAUUCCGUCUAAUACCGCGUAAUAUCUUUCGGGGGCAUCCCUGAGGGAUUAAAGGAAGCGAUUCCGGCUACGGAUGGGCAUGCGGCGCAUUAGCUAGUCGGCGGGGUAACGGCCCACCGAGGCGACGAUGCGUAGGGGUUCUGAGAGGAAGGUCCCCCACACUGGUACUGAGACACGGACCAGACUCCUACGGGAGGCAGCAGUGAGGAAUAUUGGUCAAUGGGCGAGAGCCUGAACCAGCCAAGUCGCGUGAGGGAAGACGGUCCUAUGGAUUGUAAACCUCUUUUGUCGGGGAGCAAAAAGGCCUCGUGAGGCCACAAGCGAGAGUACCCGAAGAAAAAGCAUCGGCUAACUCCGUGCCAGCAGCCGCGGUAAUACGGAGGAUGCGAGCGUUAUCCGGAUUUAUUGGGUUUAAAGGGUGCGUAGGCGGACUGGAAAGUCAGCGGUAAAAUCGAGAGGCUCAACCUCUUUCCGCCGUUGAAACUGUCGGUCUUGAGUGGGCGAGAAGUAUGCGGAAUGCGUGGUGUAGCGGUGAAAUGCAUAGAUAUCACGCAGAACUCCGAUUGCGAAGGCAGCAUACCGGCGCCCAACUGACGCUGAGGCACGAAAGCGUGGGUAUCGAACAGGAUUAGAUACCCUGGUAGUCCACGCAGUAAACGAUGAAUACUAAUUGUCCGGUCAGAAUGAUGACUGGGUGAUACAGCGAAAGCGUUAAGUAUUCCACCUGGGGAGUACGCCGGCAACGGUGAAACUCAAAGGAAUUGACGGGGGCCCGCACAAGCGGAGGAACAUGUGGUUUAAUUCGAUGAUACGCGAGGAACCUUACCCGGGCUCAAACGUAGAAUGACAGACGGUGAAAGCCGUUCUCCCUUCGGGGCAGUCUACGAGGUGCUGCAUGGUUGUCGUCAGCUCGUGCCGUGAGGUGUCGGCUUAAGUGCCAUAACGAGCGCAACCCCCAUCUACAGUUGCUAACAGGUAAAGCUGAGGACUCUGUGGAGACUGCCGGCGCAAGCUGUGAGGAAGGCGGGGAUGACGUCAAAUCAGCACGGCCCUUACGUCCGGGGCGACACACGUGUUACAAUGGCAGGUACAGCGGGAAGCCACCCGGCGACGGGGCGCAGAACCCGAAAACCUGUCUCAGUUCGGAUUGGAGUCUGCAACUCGACUCCAUGAAGCUGGAUUCGAUAGUAAUCGCGCAUCAGCCACGGCGCGGUGAAUAC